GCCGCUGUAGGUCAAUGGCAGACUGCCUCCCUUGUAGCGAGGCGAUGCCCGUUCGAAUCGGGCCGGUGGCUCCA
This 74-nucleotide transfer RNA is filed under the name Acidobacteriota bacterium. Its description in RNAcentral is "tRNA-Thr". It matches the Rfam family "tRNA". From Rfam's summary of the family: Transfer RNA (tRNA) molecules are approximately 80 nucleotides in length. The record is from RNAcentral. Lineage: Bacteria; Pseudomonadati; Acidobacteriota.